AAAGGGGAGCCCAUUCAAGUUAAGGAGACGCCAAUCAGGCGAAUGGGAUGGGGCUUGACAAGAUUCUCAGAACGUGGUUGAAGGGUCUGCAAGACCCUUGAGUCUUAUUGAUGAAAGAAUAAAAUCCAUGGGACCUUAACUGGAGGGCCCAAACGUCACUAUAUCCAUGAAAACCGAGCCUUCCACGGAUCUUGGAGAGAAGUGAUUCAGGUGAUAAUCGUGUGAAAUCAACGUGAAUGAUUUCCCUAACGGCUCUACUGUCCCCUGUGCAAAUCAUGGCUUUUCGUUUUUGUGCCACAUCUACCAAAUAUUUGGGGAUGGAGUGAGAGUCAAGUGGUGGCGGAGAGGAUGGGGGAAGAGCCUUUCUAAUAUCUCGGAAGAAGAAAAUAGUUUUUGCACAAAAUGCAUGUGCGUGAAAACAACCCUGUAGAUGGAGCAGAAUGGUGGAGGGUGAUGAAAUGGAGAAUAUUCCAGCCUGGGCAGGAGAACCACAGAUAGACCACGUAGUCAGGAGAAGAGUAAGCAGUGAUGCUGGUGGGGAUAUGAAUGAGGAAGCGGAAGGCAUAGAAACUGUCCACAGUUCCUAGGAAGAUUCCAGGUCAAAGUGCUUCCUGUUCUUUGGCCCAAGAGCCAUAUCCACUUACAAAUGGAAUCUUGAUUAAUUUUCCAUUUGUACUUGGGGCAUUUCCCUAAGCUCUUUGGUCCCUUUAGCUGCUGCUAAUGGUGAAAGAACCAGUCUUGUGUCCCCAAAGGACUGGCAUUCCACUCUGGUCUGUGGAUGCUUCAGGACAGCGUGUUCCCUUGUGUCCCCAAGCCACACUGGAACAAGAACAAGAACAAGUACAAAAAUCCUGGACGAACGAUGAGUUGUCUUGGACCAAGAUUGUGCCCCACCGCAGCCCAUGGAUCCACGGACCAGCCAUGUUAGAAGCAUCAGCUGGUGUCUAGAGGAUCCUCAAAGACAGUACUUCUCGUGCUUUCACGGACUCAAGAACCACCUGGGGCAUCUUCAGAAAGUGCAGAUCCUGAUCCCGGAGGUCUGAGAGCCCGUGUUUCUAACCAGCUCCCCAGCGAUGCUGAUGCCCCUGGUCGGCAGAGCGUGCUUUGAGAAGCAGUUCCCAGCGUGCCGAGGAAGCUGGCUGGCUCAGGUGCCCUGCCCUGGGUGAGAGAGUGGGUGACCGACAAGGAAAGAAAAUGACCUGAAAUGGAAAUAAAUGCUGUGUACCACAAUCUCA
This 1235-nucleotide long non-coding RNA is filed under the name Equus caballus (horse). RNAcentral describes it as "lncRNA (ENSECAG00000033297.2)". The record is from RNAcentral. Lineage: Eukaryota; Metazoa; Chordata; Mammalia; Perissodactyla; Equidae.